GAAAAGACUUUUGUGUCAACAUGUUGCAAGUAAAAAUCACAGUUGAGAGAUCAAAACUUGCAAACAAAAGGUGAAGUUUCAAGAAUAAAACUUUAUCAUUUACAAACAAAAAUAUUAAACAUUUGCUUUCAAAACUUAUUUUUUCCUUUCAAAACUUUUAAAAAACGUCUUUUUCCUUUUAAAAAAACGAUUUUUUGCUUUCAAAAUUUUUUUUUUCAAAAAAAUUUUUUUGUGCUUUCAAGAAAUAUUUUUACAUUUGCUACACAAAUGUUUGCAGACGUGUUGUCUCUCGUCUCGUUUUCUCUAUAUCUUUGAUUUUAAGUUAAUACGUUUCACUUCAGUGUGACAUACGAGCCACCAACCAGUCUGCUGAUUGGUCUAGAUUCCAUCCAAUCAAAUGGCCACAUUUUUCCAACAUGGGGUCUGCUACCAAGGCUCAAAUGCCAAACUGAUGAAAAUUUGAUCUGAAUGGCCGUGUGUUUCGUACAUAGACCUCUAACCGGUCAUAAAUCUUGCAUAGCUGUGCGUGAGCGUGGAAGUGUUGAAUGCAGAAGCCCAAACAUGCAUUCUCUUGUUUCUUAUGAGUUUCUUCUGAGGUGUCUUAAGGUGGUCUGAUGGAAUUAGGAAGGUACAUAAGGUAGUUGAUGUUCCUGUUGUCUGACUCUUCCAGAAUGAAGAGCAGGAUGAUCUUCAUCUCUGGCCUCAGGUGUGUUCUUGGACUUGGAUCUUUUUGUUGCACAAGUUCUCUCCCUUUGCCUCACUCUCCUCUCUUUCAGAACGCAGUCUCUGCUCGAAGUAAUCCUUUCUACACAUACUACCUGGAGUCGAGGAGUCCGCUGGAGGAGAAGAACAAGAGGAUAAUGUUGGACAGCAAGGACCCUGACAAGAAUCGUCCUCUUGAACUGCAGCGCUCUCCUCUGGACCUACCCUCUGAACUGAAGACUCUACCAAACGGAGUGAAGCUUCCAGAACCUUUCAGCGGCUCUCAAGCUUUCGAUCAGGAAGACCACACAAGUUCUUUGGGGAACAGCACCAGUGCCACGGAUGGUUUGGUUGAUGGGCCUUUGAAAUCAUCAGACUAUUCAAGCUCAAAUACAGCUCAGGCACAGAACUUGUCCAAUCUUUGGGACGUGGAAAGCUCCGACGUGGUCAGAAAUACACAUGAUGGUGCUUUUAAAGAGAACAAUUUUAUCCAUACAGAACAACACUAUCAGGACAGCCGGUUUGAACCUCCCAAAGCCUUUGAGGAUCCUUUUGAAUCACCUUUGAACACAGGACUUGAUCUGUUCCAGUCUCCUCAAGCUUCUCCACUGAACCCAUUUUACAGCCCCACUGCUCUAAAAGACAAUGGAUUUGAAAAUGAGGAUCUCUUCAAAAUCAAGGAGGAGAAGCAAUCAUU
This 1399-nucleotide long non-coding RNA is filed under the name Oryzias javanicus (javanese ricefish). RNAcentral describes it as "lncRNA (ENSOJAG00000016375.1)". The record is from RNAcentral. Lineage: Eukaryota; Metazoa; Chordata; Actinopteri; Beloniformes; Adrianichthyidae.